RNAcentral lists this long non-coding RNA (437 nucleotides) under Mus pahari (shrew mouse). RNAcentral's name for it is "lncRNA (MGP_PahariEiJ_G0002784.1)". The record is from RNAcentral. Lineage: Eukaryota; Metazoa; Chordata; Mammalia; Rodentia; Muridae.
CGACUUAGAGAGCAUCCAAACUUAUUUACAAAAGGGAAAACUGAGGCCCAGCGUCCCUGCGUGAGUUAAGAGGAGGCGACAGAUGCAGGCCAGGGUGAGGAACUGGAAAUUCCCGGAUCUGGUCAGGUGAGGGCGUGACUACGCGUUGGAGAAACGCCCACCCACAAAGGCCAAAUAGAGUUGCCGAAACCCUGUCUCUGGCUCUCCAGCCACUCCUCGCCCUGCACCCACCCCCUUGGCUCACCCGACAGCACCAACUUUGAGCCCUUUAUCAGCCUAGACUCCGCCCUCCCGCUGUGCCCUCUAGGCGCCACCUCCCUUAAAACCACACUCCCGCGUUCCCAGACCUAUGCCAGGUCCCAGCAAACAGAGGGGUGUUAGGAAGCCAAGUGAAGUGACCAAUAAAUAUUUUAAUCACCGUUAAAAAUUAAGACCUA